Molecule: ribosomal RNA, 602 nt
Filed under: uncultured Polynucleobacter sp.
Lineage: Bacteria; Pseudomonadati; Pseudomonadota; Betaproteobacteria; Burkholderiales; Burkholderiaceae
Description: bacterial SSU rRNA
Rfam family: Bacterial small subunit ribosomal RNA
Source: RNAcentral
CGGCAUGCUCCCACAUGUUUAGUCGAACGGCAGCACGGGUCGCUUGCACCUUAGUGGCGAGUGGCGAACGGGUAGUAAUACAUCGGAACGUACCUUAUCGUGGGGGAUAACGCAGCGAAAGUUGCGCUAAUACCGCAUACGCCCUGAGGGGGAAAGCGGGGGACCGUAAGGCCUCGCGCGAUUAGAGCGGCCGAUGUCUGAUUAGCUUGUUGGUGAGGUAAAAGCUCACCAAGUGCGAUGAUCAGUAGCUGGUCUGAGAGGACGAUCAGCCACACUGGGACUGAGACACGGCCCAGACUCCUACGGGAGGCAGCAGUGGGGAAUUUUGGACAAUGGGGGCAACCCUGAUCCAGCAAUGCCGCGUGAGUGACGAAGGCCUUCGGGUUGUACAGCUCUUUUGUCAGGGAAGAAACAGCAGCUCUAACACAGUCUGCGAAUGACGGUACCUGAAGAAUAAGCACCGGCUAACUACGUGCCAGCAGCCGCGGUAAUACGUAGGGUGCGAGCGUUAAUCGGAAUUACUGGGCGUAAAGCGUGCGCAGGCGGAUAUACAAGACAGGCGUGAAAUCCCGGGCUUAACCUGGGAAUGGCGUCUGUGACUG